AUAAAGUUUGAUUCUGUCUUAAUUACUUAUGAAAUUACUGAAAUUGUAUGGGAAUUAUAGUGUGUAGUUUAAAGGAGCUUUAAGUAAUUUAAAAAUAUAAUGUAAAAUUUAGAAUUUAUUAAGUUGAAGUCCCAGCAUAAAGAUUUAAAUUAAUUUGUUAAAAUAAGAUUUAGUAGUAAGUUAAGGUCUGGUUAAAUAUUGUGCCAGCAGUCGCGGUUAGACUUUAAGGCCUAAUAAGUAAUAAUUUGGUUAUGGUUAGGAUUGAUAGUAAAUGAAAAUUGGAUGAAUAAAGGGUGAAAUCGAUAAUGUUUAAUUUUUAAUCAAAAUAUUACUAAAUUUAAAGCUAACUUUUCUUAGGGUUGAACUAGGAUUAGAUACCCUAUUACACUAAGAGGUAAAUUUUAAAUAAUCUAAUUAUUUAUAGAUAUGUUCUUGAAAUUUGAAGAAUUUGGCGGUAAUUUAGUCUUGCCAGAGGAAUUUGUUUUUUAAUCGAUAAACCACGUAAAAUCUUACUCGUUUUUGUUUUUAGUUUAUAUACCAUCAUUAGCAGAUAAUCUUAGUAGAAAGAUAAUUAUUAAGUUUUAUAGAUAGCAAAAAUUAGAUCAAGGUGUAGCUAAUAAAUGAGUUAAAAUGAAUUACAGUAAACUUUAUUUAAAACGGAUUUAUUAAUGAAAUAUUAAUAAUAAAGGUGGAUUUGGUUGUAAUGAGAGUUUAAUAUGCUUUAAAGAUAUAAGUUCUAAAUUAUGUACAUAUCGCCCGUCGCUUUCAUUAUAAGGAUGAAAUAAGUCGUAACAUAGUAGAUUUACUGGAAAGUAAGUCUGGAUUAAA
Molecule: non-coding RNA, 828 nt
Filed under: Echinoecus nipponicus
Lineage: Eukaryota; Metazoa; Arthropoda; Malacostraca; Decapoda; Pilumnidae
Source: RNAcentral